RNAcentral lists this long non-coding RNA (214 nucleotides) under Carica papaya (papaya). RNAcentral describes it as "long non-coding RNA (CPAP_LNC001681)". Lineage: Eukaryota; Viridiplantae; Streptophyta; Magnoliopsida; Brassicales; Caricaceae. The record is from RNAcentral.
CCUUCCAAUCUGUGUAGCGGACAGUAAGAGAAAUAUCUGGGAACUUUCCAUGUGGCUUUGCCUAUAGGGAAGCCAAAAAAUCAUCUUCUCCCAUAGGGUAUUAUUCAGUAAGUGUCGAUUAUCAAAGAUCUUGAUGAUUUCUUUCUAUCCAGAGUGUCCAUAAGUUUGUGAAUACCGCACAUUGCCACAAGGGCUUUGCUUUCUUUUGUAGCUC